GUGUCAGCAGCCGCGGUAAUACGUAGGGGGCAAGCGUUAUCCGGAUUUACUGGGCGUAAAGCGCGUUAAGGCGGCCGGCCAAGUUGAGGGUGAAAUUUCAGGGCUCAACCCUGAAACUGCCUUCAAUACUGGUCGGCUCGAGUGCGAGAGAGGAGAGUGGAAUUCCCGGUGUAGUAGUGAAAUGCGUAGAUAUCGGGAGGAACACCAGUGGCGAAGGCGGCUCUCUGGCUCGCAACUGACGCUGUAGCGCGAAAGCGUGGGGAGCGAACGGGAUUAGAUACCCCGGUAGUCC
This 292-nucleotide ribosomal RNA is filed under the name uncultured bacterium. RNAcentral's name for it is "partial 16S ribosomal RNA". It matches the Rfam family "Bacterial small subunit ribosomal RNA", at positions 505 to 796 of the family's 1533-position model. The record is from RNAcentral.